GAUGACGCUGGCGGCAGGCCUAACACAUGCAAGUCGAACGGUAGCAGGAAGAAGCUUGCUUCUUUGCUGACGAGUGGCGGACGGGUGAGUAAUGUCUGGGAAUCUGCCUGAUGGAGGGGGAUAACUACUGGAAACGGUAGCUAAUACCGCAUAACGUCGCAAGACCAAAGAGGGGGACCUUCGGGCCUCUUGCCAUCGGAUGUGCCCAGAUGGGAUUAGCUAGUUGGUGGGGUAACGGCUCACCUAGGCGACGAUCCCUAGCUGGUCUGAGAGGAUGACCAGCCACACUGGAACUGAGACACGGUCCAGACUCCUACGGGAGGCAGCAGUGGGGAAUAUUGCACAAUGGGCGCAAGCCUGAUGCACCCAUGCCGCGUGUAUGAAGAAGGCCUUCGGGUUGUAAAGUACUUUCAGCGGGGAGGAAGGGAGUAAGGUUAAUACCUUUGCUCAUUGACGUUACCCGCAGAAUAAGCACCGGCUAACUCCGUGCCAGCAGCCGCGGUAAUACGGAGGGUGCAAGCGUUACUCGGAAUUACUGGGCGUAAAGCGCACGCAGGCGGUUUGUUAAGUCAGAUGUGAAAUCCCCGGGGCUCAACCUGGGAACUGCAUCUGAUACUGCAAGCUUGAGUCUCGUAGAGGGGGGUAGAAUUCCAUGUGUAGCGGUGAAAUGCGUAGAGAUCUAGGAGGAAUACCGGUGCGAGGCGCCCCUGGACGACACUGACGCUCAUGUGCGAAGCGUGGAGCAACAGGAUUAAAUACCCUGGUAGUCCACGCCGUAACGAUGUCGACUUGGAUGUUGUGCCAUGUAGGCGUGCUUCGGAACUAACGCGUUAAUCAACGC
Molecule: ribosomal RNA, 841 nt
Filed under: Escherichia coli
Lineage: Bacteria; Pseudomonadati; Pseudomonadota; Gammaproteobacteria; Enterobacterales; Enterobacteriaceae
Description: bacterial SSU rRNA
Rfam family: Bacterial small subunit ribosomal RNA
Source: RNAcentral